RNAcentral lists this ribosomal RNA (506 nucleotides) under uncultured bacterium. Its description in RNAcentral is "partial 16S ribosomal RNA". It matches the Rfam family "Bacterial small subunit ribosomal RNA", at positions 29 to 523 of the family's 1533-position model. The record is from RNAcentral.
AGUGAACGCUGGCGGUAGGCCUAACACAUGCAAGUCGAACGGCAGCACAGGAGAGCUUGCUCUCUGGGUGGCGAGUGGCGGACGGGUGAGGAAUACAUCGGAAUCUACUCUGUCGUGGGGGAUAACGUAGGGAAACUUACGCUAAUACCGCAUACGACCUACGGGUGAAAGCAGGGGACCUUCGGGCCUUGCGCGAUUGAAUGAGCCGAUGUCGGAUUAGCUAGUUGGCGGGGUAAAGGCCCACCAAGGCGACGAUCCGUAGCUGGUCUGAGAGGAUGAUCAGCCACACUGGAACUGAGACACGGUCCAGACUCCUACGGGAGGCAGCAGUGGGGAAUUUUGGACAAUGGGCGCAAGCCUGAUCCAGCCAUGCCGCGUGCGGGAAGAAGGCCUUCGGGUUGUAAACCGCUUUUGUCGGGGAAGAAAUGCUCCGGGAUAAUACCCUGGGGAGAUGACGGUACCCGAAGAAUAAGCACCGGCUAACUACGUGCCAGCCGCCGCCGUAA